GGAUGUUUGGCAUUAGCUGUAGGAGUGCUAUCUGUUGUCUUGAACACCUUAGAUUUUUCCAAGUUGCUAUUGCCUUUGGAACUUCUGAUCUUUCCUUGCUUGAACUGUUGCUCCUCCUUGGUGGUGGGCAUUUCUGUGGAUCACAACAUUCCAGGGGAAGGAGUGCUGUGACUAUAGAAAGCCUUCUUCCAUAUAACCACCAAUCAUACUGUGGUGGGACACGGAACAAGGCCUUCUCAGCAGCUCAGUGGGUGAUCAGGCUGCUGCUGCUGCUGUAUGCAGUCCUGUAUGUACUGCAGGCCCAAAAUGUUUAAGGCAGGUGUGAAGAACCUUUGGCCCUAAAGAUGUUGCUGAACUGUAACUCCCAUCAUCCCUGGCCAUUGGCUUUAAAGGUGAUUCCUAGCACUCUGAAUUGGGCUUGGAAUGGAAACACACUGGGACCAAUACAGCUAGACAACGGCAGAGUCACAUGCUAUGAAUAACAGCACACACAUACACACUGCCUGGCAGCAGCAGUGUACAACAGCUGUGGUUUCCAAACACUUUUCAAAGGUAGCCCCAUAUAGAGUAUGUUGCGGCUUACAGGUCAAUACAACAAACAAUAUAUACAUAGAAACACAUACAGUAUCCAUUUCAUGGCUUUGCCAACAGCUAGAAUCAACCACACAUACGCACACAUACUAAAGAAUCAGUAAAAUUAAUUAGGCCCCCAGCAUACAGACCCCAUUUUAUAACCUUAGAUAUACAUUAACUGCUACAGGCCACAGAAAAUAAAUAGGUCUUCAAGGCUCUUUUAAACAUUUUAAGGGAUGACAUGUGUGAAAAAGGAUCAACUUCUACAGCUGUGGGACUGUCACUGAGAAGUUUCUAUUAUGGGUGCCCAGCAACCUAAUUGCCUUCACAAUUGCCUAACCAGACUUUCUGGCGCUGAACUUGGGGUACAGAUAUUAUUUUACGUUCUGAAGGAGCUCAGAGUGGCAAAUAUAACCAAACAAUUAAACAAGAAAAGAAAAGCAUUCUAAAAACAGUUAAAAGAAUCAUACACAUGGAAUGGGCAUGCUUCUAUGUGUUUCACAGAUGCACAAUUAAAACCCUGCUGUUUGCAACUGAAAAGAUAGACCUGCAUUAUGGAGAAGAUACUGUGAUUGGAGCCAUGUCCCAGGGUCACUUCAACUCCUGAGAGAGAAGAUACAGGAUGCAGUGUUUGCUCUUCAUUCAGCAUACAAUAUGUACUUUUGUUGAUACCGUGUGAGAAGACAGAAAAUGUUCAUCACACACAAAUGUACAGUUUUUAGCCUGCUGGAUUGCAGAUCAAAAGGUUAAAGAGAGGAUUUAUUAAGAAUGAGUAGUGACAAUUUAAAUAAAUCAGAUGUUUUUGCCGAAGAGUACGCUGUGAUUUUCUCCAAUUAUUCCUGACAUUUCACCCAUUCAUAUCGUGAUGAGAGUUAAUAAUGCAAAGAGGGGGAAAAGACUCUUGUCUCCUUGUUUAUUCAUUGUUCUCAAGGAGCUAAGCUGUUUAUAAAGAGAAGUUAUUUGUUAUUUAAAUCACUUUUACUGAAGUUGUUUAUUUCCUUGUUUGAGUUUCUAAAAAUAUUGCUUCUAACAAUUGGAAUGCCUUUUUGAGAUGUCUGCUGUUCAGUUCAUAGUGAUGUACACUGGAAUUCUUUGUUAAAUGGGCCCAGGUGUUGAUGCAUUUAACAACCUAGAGCGAGGAGAAACCCAUAAAAGCUCCAAAAAGGACAGAGAAAACAAAAUUUAUUCUAAAAAUUUAUAAGAAGUUAUUUGAUAUCAUUAUUAAAUUACAAACAUAAAG
Molecule: long non-coding RNA, 1813 nt
Organism: Rhineura floridana
Lineage: Eukaryota; Metazoa; Chordata; Lepidosauria; Squamata; Rhineuridae
Exons: 3
Source: RefSeq, a predicted model, not a curated record